Molecule: ribosomal RNA, 938 nt
Filed under: Pholiota adiposa
Lineage: Eukaryota; Fungi; Basidiomycota; Agaricomycetes; Agaricales; Strophariaceae
Description: LSU rRNA
Rfam family: Eukaryotic large subunit ribosomal RNA
Source: RNAcentral
GCAUAUCAAUAAGCGGAGGAAAAGAAACUAACAAGGAUUCCCCUAGUAACUGCGAGUGAAGCGGGAAAAGCUCAAAUUUAAAAUCUGGUGGUCUCUGGCCAUCCGAGUUGUAAUCUAGAGAAGUGUUAUCCGCGCUGGACCGUGUACAAGUCUCCUGGAAUGGAGCGUCAUAGAGGGUGAGAAUCCCGUCUUUGAUACGGACUGCCAGGGCUUUGUGAUGCGCUCUCAAAGAGUCGAGUUGUUUGGGAAUGCAGCUCAAAAUGGGUGGUAAAUUCCAUCUAAAGCUAAAUAUUGGCGAGAGACCGAUAGCGAACAAGUACCGUGAGGGAAAGAUGAAAAGAACUUUGGAAAGAGAGUUAAACAGUACGUGAAAUUGCUGAAAGGGAAACGCUUGAAGUCAGUCGCGUUGUCUGGGGAUCAACCUUACUUUUGUUGGGCGUACUUUCCAGAUGACGGGUCAGCAUCAAUUUUGACCGUUGGAUAAAGUCUAGAGGAAUGUGGCAUCUUCGGAUGUGUUAUAGCCUUUGGUCGCAUACAACGGUUGGGAUUGAGGAACUCAGCACGCCGAAAGGCCGGGUACUUGUACCACGUUCGUGCUUAGGAUGCUGGCAUAAUGGCUUUAAUCGACCCGUCUUGAAACACGGACCAAGGAGUCUAACAUGCCUGCGAGUAUUUGGGUGGAAAACCCGAGUGCGUAAUGAAAGUGAAAGUUGAGAUCCUUGUCAUGGGGAGCAUCGACGCCCGGACCAGACCUUUUGUGACGGAUCUGCGGUAGAGCAUGUAUGUUGGGACCCGAAAGAUGGUGAACUAUGCCUGAAUAGGGUGAAGCCAGAGGAAACUCUGGUGGAGGCUCGUAGCGAUUCUGACGUGCAAAUCGAUCGUCAAAUUUGGGUAUAGGGGCGAAAGACUAAUCGAACCAUCUAGUAGCUGGUCCUGCG